This 244-nucleotide unclassified non-coding RNA is filed under the name Hypogymnia sp. Its description in RNAcentral is "partial contains 5.8S ribosomal RNA, internal transcribed spacer 2, and large subunit ribosomal RNA". The stretch from base 1 to 52 matches the Rfam family "5.8S ribosomal RNA", at positions 103 to 154 of the family's 154-position model. Lineage: Eukaryota; Fungi; Ascomycota; Lecanoromycetes; Lecanorales; Parmeliaceae. The record is from RNAcentral. RNAcentral also lists the same sequence under 2 other names.
AACGCACAUUGCGCCCCUCGGUAUUCCGGGGGGCAUGCCUGUUCGAGCGUCAUUACACCCCUCAAGCGUAGCUUGGUAUUGGGUUCUCGCCCCCGCGGCGUGCCCGAAAAGCAGUGGCGGUCCGGUGUGACUUUAAGCGCAGUAAAUCUUCCCCGCUUUGAAAGUUCGCCCCGUGGCUUGCCAGACAACCCCAUUUAUUUCAAUGAUUGACCUCGGAUCAGGUAGGGAUACCCGCUGAACUUAA